This 1140-nucleotide unclassified non-coding RNA is filed under the name Leguminivora glycinivorella. RNAcentral's name for it is "uncharacterized LOC125232500, transcript variant X2". Lineage: Eukaryota; Metazoa; Arthropoda; Insecta; Lepidoptera; Tortricidae. The record is from RNAcentral.
UUUCUUAAUUAGCCCUAGUCUUUUUUCCAAUUUAAAUUCAUUUUCCAAUUUACAAACCUUAAAUUUAAAUUCAUUCCAACCCAACUUAGCUAACAUCAAUUUAUAUAUCUACCUACUUACUCAACUUUGAACUCGUAAACAACUUAACCUCUAUUUGACCUUUACCCGUACUGACUUGACAACCUUACUUUAAAUUCAAAUUUCACUAGUUCCCCAUCAAUCUAAAAUUAGGAGAGAGCUCGCUGCGUAUUAUUGCCUUCAUUUGUGUUUUAGUUUCAGAACGCAUCUGCAAAUUGUCAGUGUGACGUUAACCUCAAAAGCCACGCUGGCACAUAAACGUUGCUAUAGCAUAGCUUAACGCAUACUGCAUUUCGAGUUUUUUCUGCUUAAAACAGUAAAGUGCAUUGUUCUUUCCAUACUUUUAAUUUAAAAAUUGAGUUUCGUUUAAAGUUUAAUAGAAAUUGCAUAUGCCAUCCUUAUUUUGUGAUAAAAACGCCGCUCACGUCGCUGCCGGGCCCGCCGCUCGACGACCGCAACCCGCACCGCCUGGACCGCUACCUGAGGCUGGAGCAGCUACGGCAACACUUCUGGAAGCGCUGGUCGGCCGAGUACGUGUCUCUACAACAGCAACGCUACAAAUGGCGCGAGAGGCAACGUGACCUACAACUGGGAGAAGUAGUACUCAUCAAGGAGGAGGGCUUACCGCCGUUGCUCUGGCGCAUGGGCAGAGUCGUCAAACUAUACCACGGGAAGGAUGGCGUACCUCGCGUGGCAGACAUCAAUACCGCUAGAGGGGUGAUCAAGCGUGCGCUGAACAGAAUAUGCCCGCUCUCGUCACAACAAGAAUCCUGAAAGAGAGUCUUUCAGCGCCCCGGAGUAUGUUAACGCCCUGACUGGCAACACAGACAGGAUAGCCAACCUCCGGUCACCCCGCUGAUCCAAUGAGCAGCGGCCAGAGCCUCGACCUGCCGGACCAAUAGGAAUGAAGACUGAAGCGCCGCGGUUUUCCCCCGUCGCGACACUAUAAAAGCACGGUGCGCGUCACCAGCGUCCCCUUUUUUACUAAUCGAAAACUCUCUCUGUCGCGUGUCCUAGACAAAACCUGUAAUUUAGAAUCCAUUAAAAGAAAUGGUAAUAUUU